GGGCGUUUCCCGAGAGCGAUUGCGCAGUUCCAGUGGAGUCUUCAGACACUGCAAACAGUGAAACUUUCAGAUAGUACCUUUGCGAAUAUUCUCCUCCAGUCAUGAAGUGGACUUUGGCGGCCAUCUCUCUUCUUGUUUCCCUGGGUGCAGUGCAUGCUCUGAAUUGCUACGAGUGUGCUGCAGGAACAUGCAAUGACCCGUUCAACAGAGCCGACGGCACCGAAAGGGAUUGUGGGUCUGCAGGCGACGCAUGCUUAAAAAUCAAAGCCAAAGACGUAGUUCAGCGCCAAUGUGGGGCUACCGCUGGCUGCCUUGACGCAUUGACCGGUGGGACGAACAGCUGCAAGACUAUUUCUGUUUUAGGAAUCGACACAACAACUUGCUGUUGCACCUCUACCCUUUGCAACAGCGCCACCAUUCGUCGGGUCAGCUACGCCGUGAUGUCUGCCAUGUUGCUUUUGAUCAAAGCUGUUUUGUAAACGUCACAGGCAACUGUAUUUGCUGUGACAUCUACAUUAAAGUCAAAGCGUACACAGAUUUCGGAAACAGAGUCUCAACAGCUCAUAAUUUGCAGGAGAGAUUAGUCAAAUUUUGCUCUUGUAUUAUUAGCUUUUCCUCUCAAAUUUCCUUCUGAUUUCUUGCCAAAAAUCAGUGGUUCGGUACACACUCGUCGAAUUUUUAUUGACUUCAGGAAAAAGAAAAAAAAAUUCUCAAACGCCGCUCCUGUUCCGUGUGAUUUGCAUGCAUUGAUUAUUCUCAUUUGAAAUUCAUUAAUUUAUGAUUUGCGCAUGUGUACCAGUUCAUUGCAUGCUUGUGCUUUUUGUCAUUUUGUCAACAACCAGCACCCACGCUUUUCUUGGUGUUCCCAAGGUCAUGCCUCUUUUGUAAAAGUGUAAUAUCAUGAAGAAAUCUGCGUGUAGGACAGUGCAACAGGGGAAAGAUGAUAAAUAAACACUACGCUUCAUCUCCUUUUCGUCGAACCACUGAUUAAAAGCUUCCCAGCGUACCAAAAAGUUAGCAAUUGUGGAAUCCCUAGUGCCCCUAAGCAUGUCCUUUUCUGACAUUCCUUUUAAAACAAUAUUCCUUGUUUUCCUGGGAGCUUCAUUGAUAUUCAAAUGUGCUCCAAACACGUUCAGGUUAAUCUUUAAAUUUCUUCCUCACGGUCUUACAACAACGGUUACUUUAUCCACCUCGUCGUGAUGGAAACGUCGCUCUUUCAUGCUUGUAACAGGUUGCAGAUCCACUGUGUAAAACCCAUCCAAAACUUUAAUGCGGGUUAUUUCCUUCAUAUACGCGUGAAGAACUGAUUAAUGAAAGCCUAUGACAAACUGGCAUUAUCAAUCCGAAAUCAAGUUAUUCCAAUAAUCCUAGAUGUGCGUAUGUUUAAAUAAUAAGCCUUUGUUUCGGCAUUCGGACAGCGCAUGCCCUAACUGUGGCGCGUACAAGGUCAUUUGGGAACAAUACACAUUUGCGAGGUAUGAACAAUCAGACCGGCCAUACGCCGACUUGUGGGCGUGCUUUGUUCUCCGAUGACCUUGGCCAAUUGGAACCCACUCUGCAAACGAUUAUGUAAAGUCCUAGGGACCCAUGUAACCUCGACAAGGGGGGGGGUGAUUUUUGACCAUCUUGUAGACCAGUACAUUUGUUUCUUACGGUAUAUGCACCAGGGAGGCUUCCUGUGGGACAUAAAAACUGGCCAGCAAGAUGGCUACCAUGCAAAGCCUCGAUUUACACAACUGAAGCUAAUAAGGGCAGAUGAGCAUUCAGAUCUUUAGAACCUUAAAUCAUAAUGUCAAGUUUGAGGCUUGAAUGUGGUCAUAUGCCGCACUCAGUUCCUUGUGCAGACAAUCCACAGCUGGUAUAUUCAUCGUGUCUUUUUUCUGGGCGUCUGGAGCGCAUUCAAAAAAAAACCUGAAACUGCAUUAUUUUAACCAAUAAUACCGUGACUGUAAGAAACCAUUCGUGGUGUGAACAUCACAAAUUGCUUUGUAUCUAAAACUGGUGAAAUACAUUUUUCUGAGGUGAUCUUUAAUAAAAUAUAACGAGAAACACA
Molecule: long non-coding RNA, 2053 nt
Organism: Acanthaster planci (crown-of-thorns starfish)
Lineage: Eukaryota; Metazoa; Echinodermata; Asteroidea; Valvatida; Acanthasteridae
Source: RefSeq, a predicted model, not a curated record